Molecule: transfer RNA, 64 nt
Filed under: Sicyonia parajaponica
Lineage: Eukaryota; Metazoa; Arthropoda; Malacostraca; Decapoda; Sicyoniidae
Description: tRNA-His
Source: RNAcentral
GUUUGAAUAGUUUAAUUAAAACGCCGGUUUGUGGUGCCGUAAAUGUGAAAGUUCACUUUAAACC